GUCUGCGGCCAUGCCACCCUGAACGAGCCCGAUCCCAUCUGAUCUCGGAAGCUAAGCAGGGUCGGGCCUGGUUAGUACUUGGAUGGGAGACCACCUAGGAAGACCAGGUGCCGUAGGCU
RNAcentral lists this ribosomal RNA (119 nucleotides) under Pteropus alecto (black flying fox). Lineage: Eukaryota; Metazoa; Chordata; Mammalia; Chiroptera; Pteropodidae. The record is from RNAcentral.